Molecule: long non-coding RNA, 689 nt
Organism: Mustela lutreola (European mink)
Lineage: Eukaryota; Metazoa; Chordata; Mammalia; Carnivora; Mustelidae
Exons: 3
Source: RefSeq, a predicted model, not a curated record
AAGACCUCAACUCUGAAAUAUGAAUAAAGGACAGAAAGUUAAAGAAGGUUUUUCUCAGGGCCUGUGUGAAACCAUGCAGAAGACAACCAGGAGAGUCAGAAACGUAUGCGGGUAUCACACCGCCGGGAUGAGACAAGUCAUCAUGAAGCUAGAAUUUUGUGAUAUGAUAGAUUCUGGACUCACAGUGGUCUCCAGCGGAGGCUUCAGCUUGUGGUGAGGGUGUCCUGAACGACGAUGUUCCAUGAAAGGUGCUGCACACGAGUGAUCAUUCUGGGCUCCGCUUCCCUUCCUCUGUCUUCCCAAAGCCUCCAGUAGAAGAGCAAGUGGGAACGGUGCACGUGCCCCAGCAAUGUCCACAAUAGCCAAACUAUGGAAAGAACCUAGAUGUCCAUCAACAGAUGAAUGGAUCAAGAAGAUGUGGUAUAUAUAUACAAUGGAAUACUAUGCAGCCAUCAAAAGAAAUGAAAUCUUGCCAUUUGCGACAACAUGGAUGGAACUAGAGCGUAUCAUGCUUAGCGAAAUAAGUCAAGCAGAGAAAGACAACUAUCAUAUGAUCUCCCUGAUAUGACGAAGUGGUGAUGCAACAUGGGGGCUUAAGUGGGUAGAAGAAGAAUCAAUGAAACAAGAUGGAAUUGGGAGGGAGACAAACCAUAAGUGACUCUUAAUCUCACAAAACAAACUGAGGGUUG